CGUGGGAACGUCCCUUUAGGUUCGGAAUAACUNAGGGAAACNUGUGCUAAUACCGAAUGUGCCCCUUCGGGGGAAAGAUUNAUCCCCUUUAGANCGNCCCGCGUCUGAUUAGCUAGUUGGUGAGGUAAAGGCUCACCAAGGCGACGAUCAGUAGCUGGUCUGAGAGGAUGAUCAGCCACAUUGGGACUGAGACACGGCCCAAACUCCUACGGGAGGCAGCAGUGGGGAAUCUUGCGCAAUGGGCGAAAGCCUGACGCAGCCAUGCCGCGUGAAUGAUGAAGGUCUUAGGAUUGUAAAAUUCUUUCACCGGGGACGAUAAUGACGGUACCCGGAGAAGAAGCCCCGGCUAACUUCGUGCCAGCAGCCGCGGUAAUACGAAGGGGGCUAGCGUUGCUCGGAAUUACUGGGCGUAAAGGGAGCGUAGGCGGACAUUUAAGUCAGGGGUGAAAUCCCGGGGCUCAACCUCGGAAUUGCCUUUGAUACUGGGUGUCUUGAGUAUAAGAGAGGUGUGUGGAACUCCGAGUGUAGAGGUGAAAUUCGUAGAUAUUCGGAAGAACACCAGUGGCGAAGGCGACACACUGGCUCAUUACUGACGCUGAGGCUCGAAAGCGUGGGGAGCAAACAGGAUUAGAUACCCUGGUAGUCCACGCCGUAAACGAUGAUUGCUAGUUGUCGGGAUGCAUGCAUUUCGGUGACGCAGCUAACGCAUUAAGCAAUCCGCCUGGGGAGUACGGUCGCAAGAGUAAAACUCAAAGGAAUUGACGGGGGCCCGCACAAGCGGUGGAGCAUGUGGUUUAUUUCGAAGCANCGCGCAGAACCUUACCACCUUUUGACAUGCCUGGACCGCCAGACAGAUCUGGCUUUCCCUUCNGGGACUAGGACACAGGUGCUGCAUNGCUGUCGUCAGCUCCUGUCGUGANAUGUUGGGUUAAGUCCCGCAACGAGCGCAACCCUCCCCANUA
RNAcentral lists this ribosomal RNA (962 nucleotides) under uncultured bacterium. Its description in RNAcentral is "bacterial SSU rRNA". It matches the Rfam family "Bacterial small subunit ribosomal RNA", at positions 116 to 1113 of the family's 1533-position model. The record is from RNAcentral.